Molecule: non-coding RNA, 73 nt
Organism: Stegodyphus dumicola
Lineage: Eukaryota; Metazoa; Arthropoda; Arachnida; Araneae; Eresidae
Source: the annotation of a RefSeq genome assembly
GCCUUCGUGGUGUAAUGGUCAGCAAGCUCGACUCAUAUUCGAGAGGUUCGUUGUUCGAUUCCCGGCGAGGGCA